AAAUUUACUAAUAAUAGUUACAAUCAUGUAACGAAUAAAAAAUUCGUAUAGGUACUUACACGUAUUACCUAAACCUUUUUAUUUAUAAAUAUAAACACACUCUAGAUUUCCUUGCAGAAUAUACUCUACGUGAUAGACAAAGUAUCCGAAUUUCUCAACAAAGAGUAUUCAACUGAGCAAAAAGAAAAGUUAGCCAAGCAUCUCAGCUUUGAAAACAUGAAAAAGUCGCCAACUUCGAAAAAACUGUGGACAAAAACAGCAAAAUGAAGUUUUUUUUAAAGAGCUCGAUCAAAUUUAAAUGGAACCAUAUGGCAAGCAACUGUUGGAUAAAAAAAAACAUCAUCGAAAUCGGAACACACGGUAAAAAGUUACAACCUCCUUCUUUUUUUUAAUUCAUCUAAAAUCAGGAAAAUUUCACACA
This 421-nucleotide unclassified non-coding RNA is filed under the name Melitaea cinxia (Glanville fritillary). Its description in RNAcentral is "misc RNA ENSMCXG00005005105.1". Lineage: Eukaryota; Metazoa; Arthropoda; Insecta; Lepidoptera; Nymphalidae. The record is from RNAcentral.